GACGAACGCUGGCGGCGUGCUUAACACAUGCAAGUCGAGCGGUAAGGCCCUUUCGGGGGUACGACGAGCGGCGAACGGGUGAGUAACACGUGGGUGACCUGCCCUCAGCUCUGGGAUAAGCCUGGGAAACCGGGUCUAAUACUGGAUAUGACUCCAUGACGCAUGUUGUGGGGUGGAAAGCCUUGUGCGGCUGAGGAUGGGCCCGCGGCCUAUCAGCUUGCUGGUGGGGUGAUGGCCUACCAAGGCGACGACGGGUAGCCGGCCUGAGAGGGCGACCGGCCACACUGGGACUGAGACACGGCCCAGACUCCUACGGGAGGCAGCAGUGGGGAAUCUUGCGCAAUGGGCGAAAGCCUGACGCAGCGACGCCGCGUGAGGGAUGACGGCCUCGGUGUAACUCUUCANCUCGACGAAGCGAGUGUGACGGUAGGAGCGAGAAGAAGC
RNAcentral lists this ribosomal RNA (444 nucleotides) under uncultured bacterium. Its description in RNAcentral is "bacterial SSU rRNA". It matches the Rfam family "Bacterial small subunit ribosomal RNA", at positions 28 to 491 of the family's 1533-position model. The record is from RNAcentral.